UCUAUGCGUGACCAAGUUAGAAAAAUCGGAGUUUUCAUGACAGUAUACAUACUGUGAAGAAAUGUCACUUUGCGGAAAUUUUGAAGACUGCAAAACACCAGCGACUUUAGUCACAUUCUUAAGACUUGGGAUUCACCAUCAGUACCUUCAACGCUUGCAUCUUCAUCGCCAGGAGCACCAUUAGAACCUUCUGCCCUCAGCUUCUUCAUCGCCAG
Long non-coding RNA from Rhagoletis zephyria (snowberry fruit fly), 215 nucleotides. RefSeq lists it as uncharacterized. Lineage: Eukaryota; Metazoa; Arthropoda; Insecta; Diptera; Tephritidae. The record is from RefSeq and is a predicted model, not a curated record.